GCGGGGGUUGCCAAGCCAGGUUAAAGGCGUGAGGCUCAGGCCCUCAUCCCAUAGGGGUUCGUGGGUUCAAAUCCCACCCCCCGCA
Molecule: transfer RNA, 85 nt
Filed under: Thermoproteota archaeon
Lineage: Archaea; Thermoproteati; Thermoproteota
Also listed under: 1 other name
Description: tRNA-Leu
Rfam family: tRNA
About the family: Transfer RNA (tRNA) molecules are approximately 80 nucleotides in length.
Source: RNAcentral